RNAcentral lists this ribosomal RNA (496 nucleotides) under uncultured bacterium. Its description in RNAcentral is "bacterial SSU rRNA". It matches the Rfam family "Bacterial small subunit ribosomal RNA", at positions 8 to 533 of the family's 1533-position model. The record is from RNAcentral.
AGAGUUUGAUCCUGGCUCAGGAUGAACGCUGGCGGCGUGCCUAACACAUGCAAGUCGAGCGAACUCUUCGGAGUGAGCGGCGGACGGGUGAGUAACGCGUGGGUAACCUGCCCUGUACACAUGGAUAACAUACCGAAAGGUAUGCUAAUACAAGAUAAAAUAUAUUUAUCGCAUGAUAGAUAUAUCAAAGCGUUAGCGGUACAGGAUGGACCCGCGUCUGAUUAGCUAGUUGGUAAGGUAAAGGCUUACCAAGGCGACGAUCAGUAGCCGACCUGAGAGGGUGAUCGGCCACAUUGGAACUGAGACACGGUCCAAACUCCUACGGGAGGCAGCAGUGGGGAAUAUUGCACAAUGGGCGAAAGCCUGAUGCAGCAACGCCGCGUGAGCGAAGAAGGCCUUCGGGUCGUAAAGCUCUGUCCUCAAGGAAGAUAAUGACGGUACUUGAGGAGGAAGCCCCGGCUAACUACGUGCCAGCAGCCGCGGUAAGAUACCGCUU